ACUCCUACGGGAGGCAGCAGUGGGGAAUAUUGCGCAAUGGACGAAAGUCUGACGCAGCGACGCCGCGUGGAGGAUGUAAGGUUUUCGGAUCGUAAACUCCUGUCAAGAGGGAAGAAACCUAUUAUGAAUAAUACUCAUAGUAAUUGACGGUACCUCUAGAGGAAGCACCGGCUAAUUCAGUGCCAGCAGCCGCGGUAAUACUGAAGGUGCAAGCGUUAAUCGGAAUCACUGGGCGUAAAGCGCUCGUAGGUGGCUUUGUAAGUCAGGUGUGAAAGCCCACGGCUCAACCGUGGAAUUGCACUUGAUACUGCAUCGCUAGAGUAUAGGAGAGGGAAGUGGAAUUUCUGGUGUAGGAGUGAAAUCCGUAGAGAUCAGAAGGAACACCCGUGGCGAAGGCGACUUCCUGGACUAUUACUGACACUGAGGAGCGAAAGCGUGGGAGCAAACAGGAUUAGAUACCCCUGGUAGACUGUCA
This 475-nucleotide ribosomal RNA is filed under the name uncultured bacterium. RNAcentral's name for it is "bacterial SSU rRNA". It matches the Rfam family "Bacterial small subunit ribosomal RNA", at positions 335 to 802 of the family's 1533-position model. The record is from RNAcentral.